This 492-nucleotide ribosomal RNA is filed under the name Saccharomyces pastorianus. Its description in RNAcentral is "SSU rRNA". It matches the Rfam family "Eukaryotic small subunit ribosomal RNA", at positions 34 to 529 of the family's 1831-position model. The record is from RNAcentral. Lineage: Eukaryota; Fungi; Ascomycota; Saccharomycetes; Saccharomycetales; Saccharomycetaceae.
GCUUGUCUCAGAUUAAGCCAUGCAUGUCUAAGUAUAAGCAAUUUAUACGUGAAACUGCGAAUGGCUCAUUAAAUCAGUUAUCGUUUAUUUGAUAGUUCCUUUACUACAUGGUAUAACUGUGGUAAUUCUAUAGCUAAUACAUGUUAAAAUCUCGACCCUUUGGAAGAGAUGUAUUUAUUAGAUAAAAAAUCAAUGUCUUCGGACUCUUUGAUGAUUCAUAAUAACUUUUCGAAUCGCAUGGCCUUGUGCUGGCGAUGGUUCAUUCAAAUUUCUGCCCUAUCAACUUUCGAUGGUAGGAUAGUGGCCUACCAUGGUUUCAACGGGUAACGGGGAAUAAGGGUUCGAUUCCGGAGAGGGACCUGAGAAACGGCUACCACAUCCAAGGAAGGCAGCAGGCGCGCAAAUUACCCAAUCCUAAUUCAGGGAGGUAGUGACAAUAAAUAACGAUACAGGGCCCAUUCGGGUCUUGUAAUGGAAUGAGUACAAUGUAAA